Gasterosteus aculeatus aculeatus (three-spined stickleback) is the source of this 1436-nucleotide non-coding RNA. Lineage: Eukaryota; Metazoa; Chordata; Actinopteri; Perciformes; Gasterosteidae. The record is from RefSeq and is a predicted model, not a curated record.
UGCCCUCAAGGAAUUCAUUCACUGCUUCCUUCCUCUUUUGGAAUGUGUCCAUGUUAAGUAUCUCUGCAACGGUGGUGGCCUGCUGCAAAACACGCUGGAUUUUAAUUGCACAACGAAAUGCAAAUGCAGUUGAAUGGCUGGCGGGAUUGAAUCUUCACAGAGAUUAUGUUGGUCAGUCAGAGAGUACGGCACGUAUGGAGAAUCUGUGCCAGGCUACGUCACCAGGAGCCCCACAAAAGGGUGAUUUGGAAGUAUGACAUCACGAGAGGUCCCUGGGACAAGCUACGUUGGGGUGUUGAGAAUUGCUACCGCCGCAUAAAUCGAUGGCUCUGUCUAUCGAUUCAUGCUACCCUAUCAAAAAAUGCUACUUUAUGGUUUUCUACCUCUGUACAUCAAAUGAAGGCAUAAAGGGCCUGUUCCCUCUCUGCUCUUCUCACUUCUCUUCCACGUGUCCUUCCUCAAGCUCCUCAAGCCCGCCUCAAUUAGGUGUCUUAAGCAGCCACAGCUGGCUGAGUGCUGAAGCCCUCUGGGACAUGUGAUGUGGACAAUGGAGGCCAUUUUGUGAUGUGGCCGCCAAUCCUGUGCAGGGUUGUAUCAGCCCUCCACUACCUGGUUCCCUGUGAUGCCACAUAAUGUAUGAUAUGCUGACCACGUACGCGGACAUCAAAGUCAUGGCCACAUGCAGAGAACAUAUUGGAGAACAUAAAGUCUUUGGUUUUGAUGAUCUGAGUACUUUCAGAGAGCUGGAAUACCAUUUGAGCAAGGCUCAAGGGGUUCGGUUAUCAAUCCGCAAUAGAAGGUAAUGACUCUGCAGUCGGAAUUUGACCUGCCUGUCUCGUUUCAGACGCAACACACACAAAUAACAGUGCGUGCAGAGACCGUCACACACACACAGUGUCACGGUCAGCAAUCUAUUUCUAUCCAUCUCGGAUGUUCUGAAGAAGUGAUCAGGAUCCCAUUUCUCCACCACGGUUCCCUUCGGGCUUUUAUAAUUGCUUGAUUCGGGCUCCAACAGGAUUUUCCUCACAGUGCACCUUCAACUCUGAUUGGUUGGAACGUGGGAGGUCAGGCGUCAUCAUUAUCGGGAACAAAAAAAGCACGGGAGCAGGAGACGGUUGCCACUCGCGCACAGUCGCAGAGACAGGAGACACAUCUCGUGGGAUCGUACUGCACGGCGGAGCAGAGGCAGUGCAGGACAAGCAACCAUUAGUGUUGACAAAUGUUAUGCUUGUUUGUCUCUAUGUACUGGUUAUGUUUCUUCCUCCUGAUUUCACUGUCAUACUUUUUUUCUUUGUGGGGACUGAAAUAUUAAAAUGAUGGAAUUUCGGCUGGCCAUCAUUACUUUCGUGACGAUUAACACUAAAACACAUUAUGAAAAUGUAACUUUGGUAGGUCUACCUACCCCCAAACGUUGGAAUAAAACAACUUGCACAAUA